AUUGAACGCUGGCGGCAGGCCUAACACAUGCAAGUCGAGCGGAUGAAGGGAGCUUGCUCCUGGAUUCAGCGGCGGACGGGUGGGUAAUGCCUAGGAAUCUGCCUGGUAGUGGGGGAUAACGUCCGGAAACGGGCGCUAAUACCGCAUACGUCCUGAGGGAGAAAGUGGGGGAUCUUCGGACCUCACGCUAUCAGAUGAGCCUAGGUCGGAUUAGCUAGUUGGUGGGGUAAAGGCCUACCAAGGCGACGAUCCGUAACUGGUCUGAGAGGAUGAUCAGUCACACUGGAACUGAGACACGGUCCAGACUCCUACGGGAGGCAGCAGUGGGGAAUAUUGGACAAUGGGCGAAAGCCUGAUCCAGCCAUGCCGCUUGUGUGAAGAAGGUCUUCGGAUUGUAAAGCACUUUAAGUUGGGAGGAAGGGCAGUAAGUUAAUACCUUGCUGUUUUGACGUUACCAACAGAAUAAGCACCGGCUAACUUCGUG
Molecule: ribosomal RNA, 484 nt
Filed under: uncultured bacterium
Lineage: Bacteria
Description: partial 16S ribosomal RNA
Rfam family: Bacterial small subunit ribosomal RNA
Source: RNAcentral